GUGAGUAGUUCAGAGUUUGAUCCUGGCUCAGGAUGAACGCUGGCGGCGUGCCUAACACAUGCAAGUCGAACGGGGUAAUCCUUCGGGGUUACUUAGUGGCGAACGGGUGAGUAACGCGUGAGAAACCUGCCUUUCAGUGGGGGACAACAGUUGGAAACGACUGCUAAUACCGCAUAAUGUUAUUUGGGGGCAUCCCUGAAUAACCAAAGCUUUAUGUGCUGAAAGAUGGCCUCGCGUCUGAUUAGAUAGUUGGUGGGGUAACGGCCUACCAAGUCGACGAUCAGUAGCCGGACUGAGAGGUUGAACGGCCACAUUGGGACUGAGAUACGGCCCAG
This 335-nucleotide ribosomal RNA is filed under the name uncultured bacterium. RNAcentral describes it as "bacterial SSU rRNA". It matches the Rfam family "Bacterial small subunit ribosomal RNA", at positions 1 to 334 of the family's 1533-position model. The record is from RNAcentral.